Molecule: long non-coding RNA, 5390 nt
Filed under: Arabidopsis lyrata
Lineage: Eukaryota; Viridiplantae; Streptophyta; Magnoliopsida; Brassicales; Brassicaceae
Description: long non-coding RNA (ALYR_LNC002604)
Source: RNAcentral
CUGUUCACACAGCAAGCACACUUCGUUUAGGAACAUUUCUCUUUAACCUCUUUUAGACUGACAUGCAUGUUCAUCUCCAUACCUAAUGGGAACUUGUCAGGGUUGACGUCGAUCCCAAUGAUUUUAGAGGCUCCCCUGACUCUUGCACCUUCAGCCACCUUUUCCCCAAUUAUUAACAAGGCAUUAAGAGUGAGAGUCUAUGUGUAACCAAUUCCAUGGUGAUACAACGAAGAGGAACCUGAACUUACGGCAAGUCCAACAGCGCCAAGUCCAAAUAUAGCGACGGUGGAGCCAGGUUGAAUAUCAGCCACAUUCCAUGCCGCACCGACUCCUUCAUUCCAUAAACACUUAUCUCUUUCAUUAAAUAAGCAAACCACAUAUAUCAUGCAUGUCAUAUAUACAGUAUACAGAGAUGCAAUUAACUAAUUACCAGUGGAGACACCGCAGCUGAGGAGGCUUAUCUUCUCCAGAGGAAACAGAGGGUUCACCUUGAGCACGCAAGCCGAGUCUAUGACCGUGUACUCGGAGAAGGUGGAUGUGUUGAGAAAAUGGUAGAUGGGUUUGUUGUCUUUGCUUGUGAAGAAUUUGGUCUUUCCAUCAAUUACCAUCACCUUCUUCAUCGGAUCUACUCGGAAUCUCUCGCACAGAUUGGCUUCGUCUUGCUUGCAGACUCUGCAAUCUCCACACUCUCCUGUGAAAAUAGGGAGCACAUGAUCUCCUGCCUUCAUCUCUUCCACUCCUUCCCCUACGCUCUCCACUAUUCUGUAAUUUAUCCAUCAAUUGAGGGAUGAAAAAUGAGAUCCAUACAGAUUUUAUUCGACUUACCCUGCCGCCUCAUGGCCAAGGAUUCGAGGGUUUAGGGUUUAGGGUUUAGGGUUUAGGGUUUAGGGUUUAGGGUUUAGGGUUUAGGGUUUAGGGUUUAGGGUUUAGGGUUUAGGGUUUAGGGUUUAGGACGCCAAUGGCAGUAUGAUCGAAGAACUAUGCACGAUGGGUUUGCAAACACACAUAGUUUUCUUUAUGAGGGUAAGCGUAUCACUUUAUUACCAUCUCAGACUGCUUCAGAGCCGCUAGUCAUAAGUAAACCUGUUGAGUCUUCUCCGCUCCCAAUUGAAACUACAAAACCAGCGUUGUUAGUUUCCAAGUCGCAGAUUUUUGAAGAAUUUCAAACAACAGACAUAGUCUUUUUUCUGCUUCUCAAGCCGCAGAUUUUGUCCUUAAUUUCAUACGCACCAACAGAUUUUUAUGGAGUUUUGACUGAAUUUCAAGACGUGUUUCCUGAUGAAUUACCAGAGGGUCUACCACCAUUAAGAGGUAUUCAACAUUGUAUCGAUCUAGCCUCUAACACGGUGUUGCCAAAUCGACCACAUUACCGUAUGAGCCCUAAAGAACACGAUGAACUGCGGAAACAAGUUGAAGAUCUUUUGGCUAAGGGAUAUAUUCGUGAGAGCUUAAGUCCUUGUGGAGUUCCCGCUUUGCUUAUCCCCAAGAAGGAUGGAUCUUGGCGUAUGUGUGUAGACAGCAGAGCGAUUAACAAAAUUACUAUUCGCUACAGAUUUCCUAUCCCGCGUCUAGAUGAUCUCUUAGACCAAAUUGGAGCAACCUCUAUUUUUACAAAAUUAGAUCUUCGUAGCGGUUAUCAUCAGAUCCGAAUCAGACCGGGUGACGAGUGGAAAACAGCCUUUAAAACGCGAGAAGGAUUGUUUGAGUGGCUUGUAAUGCCUUUUGGGUUAUCGAACGCUCCAAGUACGUUCAUGCGAGUGAUGAAUGAAGCUUUGCGGCCAUUUAUUGGACGUUUUGUAGUUGUUUAUUUCGAUGAUAUACUCAUCUUUAGUGCAUCUCUGACCGAACAUCUCACUCACCUACGUGACGUUUUACUUGUGUUGCGACGAGAGAAGUUGUUUGCUGCUACAAAAAAGUGUGUGUUUGGUGUUGAACAAGUGCUUUUUUUGGGCUACAUUAUCUCUUCACGAGGCUUAGAAGCGGAUCCAACAAAGAUUUCAGCUAUACAAUCAUGGCCUACUCCUCGGACAGUGACUGAUGUGCGUAGUUUCCAUGGGCUAGCUUUAUCACUUUAGCAGCAUCAUGGCACCGGUAACGGACUGUAUGAAGUCAGACUCUUUUUGUUGGACCAAGGAAGCAGAGAUGGCGUUUCAAGAAAUCAAAACAAAGCUAACCUCUGCCCCGGUUCUUAUCCUUCCCGAUUUCAAUAUUGCUUUUGAAUUACACUGUGAUGCGUCUAAAGCAGGAAUCGGAGCAGUCUUAAGUCAAUCAAGUCGUCCAGUUGCUUUUUUUAGUGAAAAAAUUGCAGGAUCUCGUGAACGGUAUAGUACUUACGAUGUCGAGCUUUAUGCCGUCGUACAAGCUGUUAAGCAUUGGCGUCACUACCUCUUUCAUCGCGAAUUUGUUCUCUACACCGAUCAUGACGCUCUUAAACACAUGGGCUCUCAAGAUAAAGUCUCCGCAAGACAUGCUUCUUGGUUUGCAUAUUUACAACAAUUCUCUUUUGUUAUUAAGCAUACUGCUGGUACACUUAACAAGGUUGCUGAUGCGUUGAGUAGAAGACAUGUUCUGUUAACAACCUUACACGUCUCCGUCCCUGGACUUGUACCCAACUGAUCCAUUUUUUGGCAAAAUUUGGAGAGAUACGGAGCUGGGAAUCGGUACUGUUUAUGUGAUUUAUGAUGGCUUUUUGUUUCGUGGUGCUCAAUUAUGCAUUCCUGAGUGUAGUUUGAGGCUACAUCUAAUUCGUGAGCUUCAUGGUGAAGGCCACAUCGGAAGAGAUCGUACGUUGAAAUUGGUUAGAUCUUCUUACUUUUGGCCCACGUUACGCCGAGAUGUAGAACGGUUUAUUGUGCGUUGUGGAAUUUGUCAAGCAGCUAAGGGGAAAGCAACCAAUUCUGGUUUAUAUCUUCCUCUCCCAAUUCCCACACAGCCGUGGACAGACGUGAGUAUGGAUUUUGUGCUUGGUUUACCUAGAACGCAAAAAGGUAAUGACUCGAUCUUUGUCGUCGUUGAUCGUUUCUCCAAGAUGGUGCAUUUUAUUCCUUGUAAGAAGACGACAGAUGCAAUGCAAGUAGCUGUUUUGUUUUUUCGCGAGGUUUAUAAGCUUCACGGCUUGCCUUUGUCUAUUGUUUCGGAUCGAGACUCGCGCUUUUUGAGUCACUUUUGGCGAUCUCUUUGGCGACUUUUGCGCACAAAACUAGACAUGAGUUCAGCCUAUCACCCCCAAACGGAUGGCCAAACUGAAGUUACUAACAGAGCUUUAGGCGAUUUGUUGAGAUGCUUAGUUGGAGAUCAUAUCAAAUCAUGGGAUUUGGUACUUUGUCAGGCUGAAUUUGCUCAUAACCGAGCUGUUAACCGUAGUACAGGUUUUAGUCCUUUUCAAGUGGUUUGUGGCUAUUUACCUCGUUGUCCUGCGGAUCUAGCUAUUAGUCCAGAUCGUACCCGUUUUCAUGGUCGAGCUUGUGAUUUUGUCGAAGAAUUUGCUGCAAUUCAUGAUCAAGUUCAUUCUAAUUUGGAAACAGCCACAACAAAGUAUAAAUCUGCAGUUGAUUUGCAUCGACGUGACGUUCAAUUCAAGGUUGGAGAUCUAGUGUGGGCUGUGCUAACCAAGGAUCGUUUCAAGGCAGGAACUUACAACAAGCUCAAAGCAAGAAAGAUCGGCCCUCUUGAGAUAUUGGAGAAGAUUAAUAACAAUGCAUAUCGCCUCAAGCUUCCUCCACACAUGAACACAGCCGACGUCUUUAAUGUUAAGCAUUUGGUCCCAUUUGUAAGAAGACGACAUGCUUCUUGGUUUGCAUAUUUACAACAAUUCUCUUUUGUUAUUAAGCAUACUGCUGGUACACUUAACAAGGUUGCUGAUGCGUUGUAUCGUUUUAGAAGUUUUCCUUUAUGUUUGAAUUUUUCUUUUAUGUUUAAUUUCUAUUUCUUUGAGCUCUGCAAUUAGGUCUUAGAGUGUUUCUUAUGACGGUUUAUUGACACCUAUAUAAAGCUUUGUAAUCUCUCUUAAGAGAGUUGGUUUUUAUUGAAUAAGAAAAGAGGUUUCCCUCACAUUGAAGUCUUCGAAUUCUCUCUGUUUUACAAAGAAUUCAAAGCACAAAACCUUGUUUCAAGAUCCAUUGAUCCUUGAAACCUUGUUUUGCUAUCUUACCGCUGCAUUAACUUGUGUGUUUUGUAGUUGUAAGUAGCAAGUUGUAGAUGCAAGCCGUAGACAAGUUGGAGAAAGAUGAGGCCUUGAAAACAUUUCCAACUUUUAUUUUAGUAUGGGGGGUGGACCAGACCCAAUAAGGAAACUCUGAAAGCAGUACAAUAAUCACACAGACUUGGAAAAUGAAAAGGAUGUUUCUAUUCAGAGGCGGAGAAGGCAACGAAUAGCUUUGCCUUGGUGAAGCAGCUGCAUGGCUUUGUUGAUAUCGUGGAAUGGAAGCUGGUGAGAGAUGAAGAGAUCGAGAUUGAGAAGACCUUGGAGGCAUUGGGUGAUGAGAAAGGGUAAUUGGGUUUUGGGUUUGAAGCCUCCGAAAACAGAGGCGGUGAUGGAUCUGCCUUGGAAGAGCUCCAUGGGAUGGAUAGGAAGAAGCUGUGGGCUUGCGUGAACGCCCAGCAACACUGUCACUCCCACUCCUGAGUUAGUAGACAGAAAGGCUUCUCUAAGUGCUUCUAUGCUUCCCGCACACUCAAAGCUGCACUCCACUCCUCCCUCUGUUAUCUCCCUUACUCUCUCAUGAACUGCCUUGUCACUCUCCUUUGGAUUUAUGAAUUCACUGAUCCCUGCUUCUCUGCCUGUUCACACAGCAAGCACACUUCGUUUAGGAACAUUUCUCUUUAACCUCUUUUAGACUGACAUGCAUGUUCAUCUCCAUACCUAAUGGGAACUUGUCAGGGUUGACGUCGAUCCCAAUGAUUUUAGAGGCUCCCCUGACUCUUGCACCUUCAGCCACCUUUUCCCCAAUUAUUAACAAGGCAUUAAGAGUGAGAGUCUAUGUGUAACCAAUUCCAUGGUGAUACAACGAAGAGGAACCUGAACUUACGGCAAGUCCAACAGCGCCAAGUCCAAAUAUAGCGACGGUGGAGCCAGGUUGAAUAUCAGCCACAUUCCACGCCGCACCGACUCCUUCAUUCCAUAAACACUUAUCUCUUUCAUUAAAUAAGCAAACCACAUAUAUCAUGCAUGUCAUAUAUACAGUAUACAGAGAUGCAAUUAACUAAUUACCAGUGGAGACACCGCAGCUGAGGAGGCUUAUCUUCUCCAGAGGAAACAGAGGGUUCACCUUGAGCACGCAAGCCGAGUCUAUGACCGUGUACUCGGAGAAGGUGGAUGUGUUGAGAAAAUGGUAGAUGGGUUUGUUGUCUUUGCUUGUGAAGAAUCUGGUCUUUCCAUCGGUUACCAUCAC